GUGGGGAAUCUUGCGCAAUGGGCGAAAGCCUGACGCAGCCAUGCCGCGUGAAUGAUGAAGGUCUUAGGAUUGUAAAAUUCUUUCACCGGGGACGAUAAUGACGGUACCCGGAGAAGAAGCCCCGGCUAACUUCGUGCCAGCAGCCGCGGUAAUACGAAGGGGGCUAGCGUUGCUCGGAAUUACUGGGCGUAAAGGGCGCGUAGGCGGACAGUUUAGUCAGAGGUGAAAGCCCAGGGCUCAACCUUGGAAUUGCCUUUGAUACUGGCUGUCUUGAGUACGGGAGAGGUGAGUGGAACUCCGAGUGUAGAGGUGAAAUUCGUAGAUAUUCGGAAGAACACCAGUGGCGAGGGCGACUCACUGGCCCGUUACUGACGCUGAGGCGCGAAAGCGUGGGGAGCAAACAGGAUUAGAAACCCGAGUAGUCC
Molecule: ribosomal RNA, 425 nt
Filed under: uncultured bacterium
Lineage: Bacteria
Description: partial 16S ribosomal RNA
Rfam family: Bacterial small subunit ribosomal RNA
Source: RNAcentral